AAACACCUCAAGAAAUAAACCGAAAGGAAAAAAAACUCAAGAAGUUUAAAUCUAAAAUCACCUUUUUCAAUUUUUGUUUGAUUUCUUUCAAUAUGCGUGUGUAUUUCUGGAAAAAAGAAGAUCCAAUUUACAUCGUUUCAUUCGGUUUUUAUAGCCGAAGAAUCAAUAAAAAUAAAAGGGAAAAAAUAAAUAAAAAAAUCCUUGUUGUAAUCUGUUAUUAUUUGCUGUCAAUUAUUGUUUACUAUUUUCUGUUAUUCUCUUCUCGUACGUGUGGAGGUCGUGGUGCUGUUGACAUGGCCAGGCCGUUCGUAGGCGUGUCGAUGCGGAGCGUGAAGCAACGUCGCGCGUGGAAGCUGGCAUGAAGGCAGCAGCGGUGUAAGGGGGAAAGGGAACCCUAGGGUUCUGAAAAUAUUAAACUUCGGGCCUGGGCUAGUUUUUUUUUGUUAUUGGGCCAUUUAAUUUGUAUUUUGGGCCUUGUUAUUUUGAAUUUUGGGCUUGGAUAUUAUUAUGGACAUUGGACUUUAAUUUUGGUAUUUUUUUAGUUUAUUUUGGUUUUUGUAUGGGCCUGGGCAAAAAUGGGCCAUUACACUUCUAGCCCUAAAAUCUAGGGUGUUACAGCUACACCAAUCCUGUCUUCCACAUUUUUUAUCUUUUAGUCCCAAAAUCAAGCUAUGUCAUUUUGUUUUCAUCUUUAAUAAAUUAUUUACACUUAUAUCUUCCCUUUCAUUUGCAUUUAUACCUUACAUAUUUAAUGUCAAUUAUGCACUUUAUUUUAAUCUUUUCUAUUUAUUCACACUUGUAUAAUUUUUACUUAUUCUUAUUUCGUUUUUAUUUAUUUUCAUGUCUAUUUAUAUUUAUUUUUUUACACAUUCCCCUUACAUACAUUUUAAUAUUAUUUAUUUAUGUUACUCUGAUUCUUUUAUUGUAUUAUGAAAAAGGUGUAUUAUUGUUAUUAUUAUCAUCAUCAUGUUAAGGUCUUAUUUAUUUCAUUUAUUUAAUAUUUCUUUUUAUUAUUGCCAUUUUGAAAGAGUUUUAACUUUUCAUUAACUUUAGCCAAUUUAAUUAUUAUCCUAUUUUAUUACUAUUCAUUUUAAAAGAGGGAACUUUAAGUCAUUUUUUCAUCCUAUAAUUGUUGACGUGAAGUUAGUUAAGUAGGUGUUACAUUUUAAUGAAACUAUAAGGAUUUUACAUUUGGAUUUAAGUUAGUCCUUAAGAUCUUAUCUACCAUUUACCCUAGAAAAAUUAUAAAUAAUAUGUUGGAUUUUUUUAAGGUUUUAAACUAAUUUUAAAUAUCGUAUAGGAUUCCUUUUUAGAAUGUUAAAUUAAUAUGUAAAUAUUCUUUAGGACUUUAUUCAUGAUUAAAAUUAAAGAUUAUUGUAGGUGAAUUGUAAAUCAUGAGUAGGUCUUUCUAAGUAUUUUAUUUUAGAAACUUUUCAAGAAAGCUCAUAAAUGUUAUUUAAAAUAUAUUAUUUUAGGAUUUUGAUGAAUUUAAAUCUUAGAUCAAGAAUUUUAAAGUAAGAUAAAUCAUAAACCCUGCAUAGGAUACUUUCAUAAGAUCUUGAUAGGUUCAAUGUUAUUAAUUAAAUCUUUUAAAUAAUAAUAAUAAAAGAUCGAAUAAGUUGUAGAUGAAUUUUAAUAUUUCUCUUAUUUUAUUGGUAAUUUCUAGGUUUUUUUAGAAUUCUAAAAUAGAAUUAAUUUUAGGAAUUAAAAGUAUUUUACUAUAAUUAUUUAGGUAUCCUUUAGGGUUCCCGUUAAAAGUAAAAAUCUCUAAUUUGUAAAAACCUCUAAUUUAAGUUUUAAAUUAGAUAAGUUUAAUGAACACAUCUUAAUCGAGUUACAAGUAAACCGAAGGCAUUUUCUUUAGAGUUUUUAUUUAAAAUUUCCAUAAGAUUUUAGCCUAGAUUAAGACAUUAAUAUGCUUAAAUAGAAAAAAUCUAGCUUUUAGGACCCCGUAGGACUAUCCCCGGAUAGGCGUGGUGGGGGUGCCAUAACCUUCCCCAUACAUAACAGUACUCCUGAACCCGAAAUUUGGUGAUGAGAUCGAGUCUAGACUUUUAGGAUUUUUCCGUAGUAUUAAUUCUAGAGUUUUAGACGAUAGGUGGCUUACCAACCUAGCCCUAAUUGGUUAGUGGAGACUCUACUUUAAUUUAUGCCCUUCGUGUCUAGCUUUAUUUACUAGGCCCCCAUACUCUUAUGUAGGCAAUGUUAUGACAACAGUAAUUAUCAACUGGUCAACCACAAACGAAUUCAGAUUCUGCAGAGGUCUUCGUCAAAGAGAUUUGUUAUCCCUAUUCUUAUUUAUUUGUGACGGAAGUGCUUCAUUUGGCAAUGGAUAAAGCUAUGGAGUUGGAGCUAAUUGAAGGCUUUCAAGAUGUUAUUCUUAGAUAGAAUUUUACUCAUUUACAAUUCGCGGACGACACUAUACUAUUCUUAAGAGUAGAUGAAAAGGAGGUGAGCAAUGCGAAGUAUAUUUUAUUGUGUUUUGAGAUCUUUUCUGGUCUUAGUAUCAAUUUCAAAAAAUCUUGUCUAGUGGGGUUCAAUGUAAAUGAAGAAAUAUUAUAUCAAAUGGCAGCAAUAUACAAGUGCAAGAUAGGGUCUUUGCCUUACAAUUACUUGGGGAUUCUAUUGGGAGCAGAUCCAAGGAGAGUAGCCAGUUGACCUUAUUGUAGAGAGAUUUAGAAAGAAAUUAUCGGGAUGAAAAUGUCAUACGCUCUCAUGGGCUACAAAGAUAAUGUUAAUCAAUUUUGUUUUGUCAUUUUUACCAAUUUAUUUCAUGUCAUUAUUUCAAGCUCUUGCGACGGUAAUUAAAAAGAUCGACAAGAUAAGGAGGGAUUUUCUUUGAGGGAGUAUGGAUGGUAAAAAGAAUAUGGCUAAGAUUAAUUGGAAAAAAGCCUACUAAAUAUAAUUAAUGAAAACUACACAACUAACCAUUCAACUAUUAAUAUGUUUCUAUUUUGUUCACCUAAGUGUAAAAUAUCCUAUUUUUCACUAACGUUACCAAAAUUUGAUAUUUUAGUUACUCCUCACUUAAAUCACUAAUGGAGUGCUCAUAACUAUUUUUAUUGGCAUAAUAACAAAUUGAGUAAAGUAUAAGAAUAGUCACCUAAUUAUUUAGUUCGUUCUAUUUUGGUCGCUCAACUAAUUUUUUUUUACUUAGUCACACUACUUUUUGAAAUUAAAUAUUUUAGUCAUUCUUACUGUUUUUUUUUUUUUUUUUGCAACAUUCGAUUGCACUGUCAAAGAAAACAGAGCAGCAUCCAAAAACAGAAAAAGAAGCAACAAAAAGCAUAAUGAAGUCACAAUCCAAAUACCACGUACGAAACUGCUAAUUCUUGAAUAGAAAACCUCACCACCACGCUUUAAACAUAUGCGGCUGAUUAACACCAUCCAUCGCUAAAGACGAUGCCAAAACAAUACCUUUCCGAUCAUCCAGAGAGAAAACAACAUUACCCACCUACAAAAUUGCAGACUCAAUUUCUGCAAAAACUGGCGAAAAGGAGAAAUUAACAUAAAAGGAGAAAUGUCUUGAUGUAUUUAAGGAGAACUUGGAAUACAUUGAGAACUUUAACAAUGGCGGAAAUAGGAGUUUUAAGUUAGGCUUUAAUAGAGUUGCAGACAUGACACAGGAUGAAUUCAUUGCAACUCACACCGGAUACAAGAUGCAGAACAAUCCCACAAUGUCCGAAUCAACAUCGUUUAUGUAUGAAAGCUACUCAAACGCUCCGACAAACUUCGAUUGGAGGGACCAAAAUACCGUCACUCCUAUUAAGUAUAAGGGUCGAUGUGGUAAGUCUUAUAUAUAUAAACCCUUAAAUUCUUGACUGUUACAAAAAUAUUUUAAUAAUUUUAUAAUUGAAUUGGUUUUUAGUUAAAUACUUGACUGAAUUGGUGUUAUAAAAAUAUUUUAAUAAUUUUAUAAUUGAAUUGUUUUUUAGUUAACUUAAACACAAAAUCAUUUUAAAGUUUAAAAUAAUUAGAUAUAUAUUGUUCCGCCAAGCAUUUAUUUAUUUAUUCACUAAUACUAGAAAAGGGUUAUUUGUUGGUUUACUUUCCAGAAUAGAGGAUGGAUGAUGAAUGCUUUCGACUACAUUAGCCAAAACCAAGGAAUAACCACCGAAAAAAGCUAUCGAUAUCAACAAAUGCAAGAAACUUGCGACACACAGAUAAACAAAGUUGCCACCAUCAGUGACUAUCGAAUGGUGCCUGAAAACGACGAAGAAGCAUUGCUUAAGGCCGUCACGAAUCAACCGGUCUCGGUUGCACUUGAAGGCCAUGGACGAGACUUUCAGUUUUACAAUGGUGGAGUGUUUACAGGAGAUUGUGGAAAUUCUCUCACCCAUGCAGUCACCACUGUUGGAUACGGGACAAGUGAAGAAGGUUUAAACUAUAGGCUGAUUAAGAAUUCAUAGGGACAAAGAUGGGGUGAAAAUGGGUAUAUGAAGAUUCAAAGGAAUGUGGAAACGCAAGGUGGC
RNAcentral lists this long non-coding RNA (4472 nucleotides) under Gossypium barbadense (sea-island cotton). Its description in RNAcentral is "long non-coding RNA (GBAR_LNC002987)". The record is from RNAcentral. Lineage: Eukaryota; Viridiplantae; Streptophyta; Magnoliopsida; Malvales; Malvaceae.